GCUUGGAACGUACAAUUACAUUCAUUUCUAUCUCAAACAUUCAUAUAAUCCUCAAAUAUAACAAAAGAUUUGAGUUCCAGAUAUAUUCAACCCUAAUCGAGCACUAGUGCGCAUACAAUUGCCAAAAAUUUUUUAAAAAAACUAGACUAUACUAGCCUGUACCAGCCUCACGCCCUCACUCGUAACCCCUGUAAGGAAAACAAAUUUAACGGAAUAGAGUGAGCCAAAGAUCAGUGAGGUUCCAAAACUUCAUGUAGACCCAAACAACACGUUGGUCAUUAUGUAAAACUUGAAAUAUCAAAGUAGCGAGUAUAAAAGUUCAUAAAAGAAGACAAUAACAAUUCAAAUUAGCAAAUCAUUAGUUAUCCAACAAAUUCCAGGUAAAGGAUACAGAUGGCUCUCAAGAGCCAAAUUCCCAUUGCAUUAUUUGAUCUGAACCCGUUGACACCCCAUCAAGGUUUGAAGAAGCAAACCAUGACCGUAGAUCUCCACUUUACACAAUUCCGUCCACCAAACAAACCUCUUAUCGGGCCCAAACACCAAACAGAAACAGUGGUAGUAAUACUCGGGUAUACCGAAUCCAGUGAACCUAAUCCAAAAGAUUAUACAAUAAACAAUAAACAGUAGUACUAUGGUUCGCUAGUCUCCUCGACCAAGCCCUUACUAGCACUAGCUCGAUUCAACUAACUAACCAAUAGGGUGUAGAUCUAAGUAGUGAGACGGGAAGAGAGGUACCUCCCACUUGGAUAGAGUGUGGUACAUGCUACCGCUCAGUACUUACAAGUCAAGUACAAGAUCUUAGGUAGUAUUCAAGUUGUACACAUGUAUAUCAAGUCAAUAAUAGCCAGUAAACAGUAAUAAAUCACAUUAGGGCAAAUGCGAUAAAGUACACCCUUGCCCAUUCAAACAAGUCAAGUAUUUCUUUUAAAUAUCAAGAUCAAUCAUGCACUUGGAAGCACUCACCAGUAUGAGCAAGAGAUAUGUCAAAAGUUUCCUUCUGGGUUGUACUCCGGAUCACCAAAGAAACCUAGAUCAGUCAAAAUAAGGUAUUAUAGUUCAACUAAUCAAAAUCUAGAUGAAGCAUAAAAAAUCGAUAAAGUACUAGUGCAAAUAUGACAGUUUUAGAGUGAAUAAUAACAUUUGAACUUUCAAGUUAUGAAAAAUCUUAAGUCAUUUCUCAAAUUCAAACAUAAUCAAAGAAAAUUCCAAAAAUAAGUAGUUGAAAGAAUAACCAAUCCCAAAUUGAAGUGACCAAAUGUAAUUCAAAAUUUUCGAGAUAAAACUAACACUUUUCAUCUUAGUUGAUACCAAAUCUUGGUAAAAAACAAUUCAUAUACUACUAUUGAAGUGCAUUCAAGGAUACAUAUGUAACUUAAGAUCCAACUAACCCAAAAUCAAACCUUAUAUCUCACUAAUAUACAUAAGAGCAAGUAAUAGAAAUUUGGGCAGCAUUUCCCCUAUUUUCUUACUUUUCCCAUCCAACUACAACUUG
This 1492-nucleotide long non-coding RNA is filed under the name Coffea arabica (coffee). RNAcentral's name for it is "long non-coding RNA (CARA_LNC002555)". The record is from RNAcentral. Lineage: Eukaryota; Viridiplantae; Streptophyta; Magnoliopsida; Gentianales; Rubiaceae.